UGAGAGAAUAAUUUGAUGGAGUCUUAUUUACAUGUCAACUGAUAAUUCUCUAGUGGGAGUUGUGUAAGUGAUCCUUUGACCUGAGGUCACCAUGGUACCUUGUGUACAUGGAUCCAUAUUUUGGUUCACUAUCUAACUUGAUUCUCUGAUCCUUAUGUGAGGUGUUCUGGAUAUGGUGAAGUGUGCAUAGAGGUUGUGAAUCAAUAAGGGAUCAGUCACUCCUAAUAAGGAGAGCGAACAUCCUAUGUGAUCUCAUAGGACGGUGAUUCUGGA
This 273-nucleotide long non-coding RNA is filed under the name Elaeis guineensis (African oil palm). RNAcentral describes it as "long non-coding RNA (EGUI_LNC058405)". The record is from RNAcentral. Lineage: Eukaryota; Viridiplantae; Streptophyta; Magnoliopsida; Arecales; Arecaceae.